AACGCUAGCUACAGGCUUAACACAUGCAAGUCGAGGGGAAACGAUAUUGGAAGCUUGCUUCCGAUAGGCGUCGACCGGCGCACGGGUGAGUAACGCGUAUCCAACCUGCCCACCACUUGGGGAUAACCUUGCGAAAGUAAGACUAAUACCCAAUGACGUCUCUAGAAGACAUCUGAAAGGGAUUAAAGAUUUAUCGGUGAUGGAUGGGGAUGCGUCUGAUUAGCUUGUUGGCGGGGUAACGGCCCACCAAGGCGACGAUCAGUAGGGGUUCUGAGAGGAAGGUCCCCCACAUUGGAACUGAGACACGGUCCAAACUCCUACGGGAGGCAGCAGUGAGGAAUAUUGGUCAAUGGACGUAAGUCUGAACCAGCCAAGUAGCGUGCAGGAUGACUGCCCUAUGGGUUGUAAACUUCUUUUAUAAGGGAAUAAAGUGAGGGACGUGUCCCUUUUUGUAUGUACCUUAUGAAUAAGGAUCGGCUAACUCCGUGCCAGCAGCCGCGGUAAUACGGAGGAUCCAAGCGUUAUCCGGAUUUAUUGGGUUUAAAGGGAGCGUAGGUUGACAUAUAAGUCAGCUGUGAAAGUUUACGGCUCAACCGUGAAAUUGCAGUUGAUACUGUAUGUCUUGAGUGUACAAGAGGUGGGCGGAAUUCGUGGUGUAGCGGUGAAAUGCUUAGAUAUCACGAAGAACUCCGAUUG
Molecule: ribosomal RNA, 696 nt
Filed under: uncultured bacterium
Lineage: Bacteria
Description: bacterial SSU rRNA
Rfam family: Bacterial small subunit ribosomal RNA
Source: RNAcentral